Molecule: transfer RNA, 72 nt
Filed under: Bacteroidota bacterium
Lineage: Bacteria; Pseudomonadati; Bacteroidota
Also listed under: 1 other name
Description: tRNA-Thr
Rfam family: tRNA
About the family: Transfer RNA (tRNA) molecules are approximately 80 nucleotides in length. Their secondary structure includes four short double-helical elements and three loops (D, anti-codon, and T loops).
Source: RNAcentral
GCCAUUGUAGCUCAGUGGUAGAGCACUUCCUUGGUAAGGAAGAGGUCGCCGGUUCGAUCCCGGCCAAUGGCU